This 251-nucleotide ribosomal RNA is filed under the name uncultured bacterium. RNAcentral describes it as "partial 16S ribosomal RNA". It matches the Rfam family "Bacterial small subunit ribosomal RNA", at positions 60 to 339 of the family's 1533-position model. The record is from RNAcentral.
AGUCGAACGAACUCUUCGGAGUUAGUGGCGCACGGGUGCGGAACACGUGGGAAUGUACCCCUAGGUAAGGAAUAACUGCUGGAAACGGUAGCUAAUACCUUAUAAUAUCUUCGGAUCAAAGAUUUAUCGCCUAGGGAUCAGCCCGCGUCUGAUUAGUUUGUUGGUGAGGUAAUGGCUCACCAAGACUACGAUCAGUAGGGGGUCUGAGAGGAUGAUCCCCCACACUGGGACUGAGACACGGCCCAGACUCC